RNAcentral lists this long non-coding RNA (902 nucleotides) under Homo sapiens (human). RNAcentral describes it as "HSALNT0280747". Lineage: Eukaryota; Metazoa; Chordata; Mammalia; Primates; Hominidae. The record is from RNAcentral.
AAUUAAUGUUAGUCACUGUUGUCUUUUUUGUUUUUGUUUUUUUUUUUUUUUUUUGAGGCGGAGUCUCGCUCUUUCGCCCAGGCCGGACUGCAGUGGCGCUAUCUCGGCUCACUGCAAGCUCCGCCUCCCGGGUUGACGCCAUUCUCCUGCCUCAGCCUCCUGAGUAGUUGGGAUUACAGGCGCCCGCCACCGCGCCUGGCUAAUUUUUUGUAUGUUUAGUAGAGACGGGGUUUCACCGUGUUAGCCAAGAUGGUCUCGAUCUCCUGACCUCGUGAUCCGCCUGCCUCGGCCUCCGGCCUCCCAAAGUGCUGGGAUUACAGGCGUGAGCCACCGCGCCCGGCCCUCACUGUUGUCUUUUAAGUAGUGAAACAGGAAUGUCUCUCUGAUCAGAAAGCACAAUUAAGAUUCUGCAGAAAAGGAAAUCCAGCUCGGUGCCACCAAUCUGUACUAGGAAUGAAGAUUUGUUACCUGUCCUGCUGACGUCAGACCCAGCACCAGGUGCAGAAGCAACCAUCAUACAAAAAUCAAGCUUCCUUAAUUAUCCUCUGAAGAGUCCCUACCAGCAAGAAGGCUCUCACCAGACGUGGCCCUUUGACCUUGGAUUUCUCAGCCUUCAAAACUCUUGAGAUGCCCGAUCCCAGGCUCACCGAAGCGAGGUGAUACCAGACUCUCCCAGGCUCACCCAGGACAUGGUUUUCAUGUAGUGCAGUGUAGCAGGGACAAUUGGUCGUUAUGUGGCAGUCAGACAGCAUAGAGCAGGAGGUCUACAUCUUUCCUGCGACAAGCCUUCAGAGACUCUUCUUAUGUCUGAAGAAGUAUCUGUUUCAAGUUGUUUAAGCUUAGUGAGAUGGACUUUUUUGCUAAAGAGUUCCAGUGGUACAGAAAUCAGGAACAGAGAAGAG